Molecule: non-coding RNA, 31 nt
Filed under: Mus musculus (house mouse)
Lineage: Eukaryota; Metazoa; Chordata; Mammalia; Rodentia; Muridae
Source: RNAcentral
UAAGACCACUGAUAAUACCUUCCCUGUAGAA